This is an RNA transcript of Neltuma alba, 2122 nucleotides long. It is a transcript of the gene named glycerol-3-phosphate acyltransferase, chloroplastic, with no coding region annotated. Lineage: Eukaryota; Viridiplantae; Streptophyta; Magnoliopsida; Fabales; Fabaceae. The transcript is spliced from 13 exons. The record is from RefSeq and is a predicted model, not a curated record.
CCCAGUCCUCCAUCGACAUCGAACGCCAACAUCCCGAUGGUGAUGUAUAGCUUCAGCAAAAACACAAAGCCACUUGACUAUUUUCUUCUCUUCUAUUAUUGUCUCCCCCUUUGGCUUGUGCGCUUGUGGGAAGCCACGUGCCCAUCUUCCCUCUCGAUUCUCUCUCUUGCUUUCUGGACUGGACUCUCUUCUCAUGGCUUCGACUAUGAGUACUCUUGGUCCUUUUUCAGCGGCACAAGCCAACUCUCUCGCCCUCUCAAACAAAGCCAUGCCUGUCAUCUCUUCUUCUGUUCCUUCUCCAUCAUCCACAUUCUUCGCCGCAAGCUUCCCUAGGGUUUCUCCACCCUUGUCUUCUUCUUCUUCUUCUUCUGCCUCUUACUUUUACUCAAGGCUUAGCUCGAUUGCUCUGCGAUCCGCUGCUCCGAGGCUUGUUUGUUCUUGUUUACUUAACUCAUUGAAGGUUAGAGCAAAGGAGGAUGUGUUUCCAGGCAAGGACUCUCUAUAUAACAUGGCUAGCUCCGUUUCUUCGCGAGCAUUUCUUAAUGCUCGCACUGAGGAAGAACUUCUGUUGAGAAUCAGGAAGGAAGCAGAAGCAGGAUCUCUGCCUUCUAAUGUUGCUGCUGGAAUGGAGGAACUGUACCAUAAUUAUAAGAAUGCAAUUAUAAAAAGUGGCCAUCCCAAGGCAGACGAGAUUGUAUUGUCAAAUAUGACUAUUGCAUUAGAUCGCAUAUUUUUGGAUGUAGAGGAUCCUUUUGUCUUUGAACCACACCACAAGGCAAAGCGAGAUCCUUUUGACUACUACAUGUUCGGUCAAAAUUAUAUCCGUCCUUUAAUUGAUUUUAGAAAUUCUUAUCUUGGCAACAUUUCCCUUUUCUAUGAAAUAGAAGAGAAACUUAAGCAGGGACACAAUAUCAUCUUAGUAUCAAAUCACCAAACCGAAGCAGAUCCAGCUGUUAUUGCACUGCUUCUUGAAACGGCAUGCCCAUAUAUUGCUGAAAGCGUGACCUAUGUUGCAGGAGAUAGAGUUAUAACAGAUCCCUUGUGCAAACCCUUUAGUAUUGGCAGGAACCUUAUCUGCAUUUACUCAAAAAAGCACAUGCUCGAUGUUCCUGAACUUGUAGAGAUGAAAAGAAAAGCGAAUACAAGAAGCUUGAAGGAAAUGGCUGUGCUUUUAAGGGGUGGGUCACAGAUUGUCUGGAUUGCACCAAGCGGUGGUAGGGAUAGACCAGAUCCCCUAACAGGAGAAUGGCUACCAGCACCAUUUGAUGCUUCUUCAGUAGACAAUAUGAGAAGGCUUGCUGAACAUUCUGGUCAACCAGGUCAUAUUUAUCCUUUGACAAUAUUGUGCCAUGAUAUCAUGCCACCUCCCCAACAGAAGUUUUGCAGGUGGAAAAAGAAAUUGGAGAGAAGAGAGUUAUCUCCUUUCACGGAGUUGGAUUAUCAGUGGCUCCAGCAAUAAGCUUUUCCGAAGUCACCGUUGCUUGUGAAAGCCCAGAAAAGAGCAAGGAUGCGUAUGCACAGGCGCUUUACAAUUCUGUAACUGAGCAAUAUGCUGUGCUGAAAUCUGCCAUACAUGGCCAACAAGGAUUAGCUGCAUCAAUUCCAAAUGUCUCUCUGUCACAGCCAUGGAUUUAACCCAAAGCUGUAUCUUUUCCGAUCUCCGUUUUGAUGAUCAGGUGCAAGUGACAACACAUCGGUUUUGCGAUUCAACUAGUGCACUUCAGCACAUUUUUUCCCACGCCCAUCGGACGGGUUCGAUGGAAUUGCUGUUGAAUAAAGGUUCUUUGUGCAUAUUCAUAGCAGAAUCGCUAGAAAUCUUUGUCAUGAGCAAGGUUCAGUUUAAGCUGCAUACUGUAUAGGUCUUUUGGGUUCCGAAUCAAAUCGUGGCCUUUGGUAUAAAAAAUUUUCAUGUAAUUUAUAUUCUUUUACUCACAGCUUUGUAUUAGGCUCUCAUUUCCCUAGUUGACCAGUUUAAAGUUCAUAAUUUUGCAAAUGUAAUUUGGCGAGUUUGAGAAAAGUUCAAUUAUUUAUGAUCAUGAAUAGUGAUUUUUCAUAGAUUUUAUGUUUCCCUAGAGUGUGCCAUGUGGCAAGUGGAGCUAAGCCUGCAAACUUGUUAAUAGUA